RNAcentral lists this ribosomal RNA (483 nucleotides) under uncultured bacterium. RNAcentral's name for it is "partial 16S ribosomal RNA". It matches the Rfam family "Bacterial small subunit ribosomal RNA", at positions 28 to 507 of the family's 1533-position model. The record is from RNAcentral.
GACGAACGCUGGCGGCGUGCUUAACACAUGCCAGUCGAACGCUGAAGCUCAGCUUUUGUUGGGUGGAUGAGUGGCGAACGGGUGAGUAACACGUGAGUAACCUGCCCCCUUCUUUGGGAUAACGCCCGGAAACGGGUGCUAAUACUGGAUAUUCACUGGUCUUCACAUGGGGGUUGGUGGAAAGGGUUUUUCUGGUGGGGGAUGGGCUCGCGGCCUAUCAGCUUGUUGGUGGGGUGAUGGCCUACCAAGGCUUUGACGGGUAGCCGGCCUGAGAGGGUGACCGGUCACAUUGGGACUGAGAUACGGCCCAGACUCCUACGGGAGGCAGCAGUGGGGAAUAUUGCACAAUGGGCGCAAGCCUGAUGCAGCGACGCCGCGUGAGGGAUGGAGGCCUUCGGGUUGUGAACCUCUUUCGCUCAUGGUCAAGCCGCAACAAUGGUUGUGGUGAGGGUAGUGGGUAAAGAAGCGCCGGCUAACUACGUG